GGCCCUGCGAGGUCCGAGGGGCAAUAGCCCUCUGGAACAAGACAAUUCAUGUGAGAUAAGAAAGAAGAGCCCACAAGACCAAGGAUGUAUUCUCAGUUUACAGACCACUGACCAGAGGCCACUCCAGGGUGUCAGGACUAAGAGAAGUCACAAAACAGCAGAUUUCCCAAGAGCAGCGGAAAAUGAUCCAGUCACAGAUAUCAUUUGAGGAUGUGGCUGUGGAUUUCACGCUGGAGGAAUGGCAGCUACUUAAUCCUACUCAGAAGAACUUGUACAGAGAUGUGAUGUUGGAGAACUAUAGCAAUCUGGUUUUCUUGGGUAAGAACAUUCUUAUGUAACUUAGUGUAUGGCCAGUAACUGGCCUGUGAGGUGUUUGUUUAUUUUGGAUGUAAGUUUUACAUGUCAAAGAUUAUUUGACUUUUAUACUGAAUUGAAAGAUUUUCAUUCACUUGCUUUAUUUUGCAGCCUUUAUAAUAAAACAUUCUACAUAUUUAAGACUCUUAGCCCAGGCAGUUAGGUCCAAGUCCUCUGUGUUUCCAAU
This 541-nucleotide long non-coding RNA is filed under the name Homo sapiens (human). RNAcentral's name for it is "non-protein coding lnc-CHFR-2:4". The record is from RNAcentral. Lineage: Eukaryota; Metazoa; Chordata; Mammalia; Primates; Hominidae.